CCGGCUCCGCAAGUCCCAGAGGCGACCUCUCCCCCCGACACAUUCCCCAAACUGCGCGGCAGAGACGCGGAGGGGAGCCGGGCAAAGGGGAGAAGGCGGGGGGGGGGGGGGAAAAAGCCGUGUCACCCCUGUUGCCAGUGCCCCGUCCUGCUCCGGGAUGGGAGGCAGAGUCCAGCUCCCUUCCCUCCCUCUUUCCUUCCCUCCUUCCUUCCCUCCUCCUUCCUUCCUUCCCUCCGCAGGUUUCACGCUCAACCCGCUGGCCGGAGGUGUUCCCCGACCCGCCGCGGCACCGGGCAUCGCUCCCGUCCGCCCGGCGCGGGGGUAGGGAUGGGGCGGGCAGCGCUCCGGAAAGGCGAUAAAUUAAAAAAUAAGAGAAGAAAAAAAAAAGAAUACAACCUAGAAAUCCGCUUGAACAGCCACUCCAAAUUAAGAAAUUACCCUGGGACUUAGAUAAAGCAACAAACACAAAUGGCCAGGCGGUUAGCGUGAGAAGAGGCGGUAGAAUUAACACCAGUUCCUUGUCGAGGUGCAGGGGCAUAUCCCGACUUCCCGGCAUUAAAACCGGAGCGAUUUACUUCGGGAAGCGUUCGGCUGCCGCUAGUUUAGAGCUGUCUCUGCACCCCCAGCACCCCCCAAAAAUAAACCUCCCUGGUCCAAAGACAUCCCCCCCCCCCCGCUCCGGGUGUGAACCGGCACGACACGGCCGCCUGGCACAGUGGCACACCCCGCUCCGUAAAUGUGGGACUCACAUUUAAAAAAAAAAAAAAAAGAAAGAAAAAAGAAAAAAAGAAAAAACAUCCCCAGGGAGAAGGAAGCGCUUUGCCUCAGCCGGGAGCAAAGUGCCGGGGGGGGGGGAGAACCCUUCCUUCUCUUCCCCCCCUCUUCCUUCCCAAGAGCCUAUUUCUUCUUUUCCUUGACCACCCCCCCCCCCCCCGCUGCCUGGACCCUCUCUGCCCCCCCUGUCCGCCCAGGUGACCCGGGAUCCCAGCCGGGGGGGCACACACCGGUGUCCGCCCGGCCCUGCCCAAGGCACCGCCGAGUCCCGGCUCCCCCGCUCCACACCUGCGGCCCAUAAAUA
This is a long non-coding RNA of Aquila chrysaetos chrysaetos, 1078 nucleotides long. RefSeq lists it as uncharacterized. The record is from RefSeq and is a predicted model, not a curated record. The transcript is spliced from 3 exons. NCBI's taxonomy places the organism in Eukaryota, Metazoa, Chordata, Aves, Accipitriformes, Accipitridae.